AGAGUUUGAUCCUGGCUCAGAUUGAACGCUGGCGGCAUGCCUAACACAUGCAAGUCGAGCGGCAGCGCGGGGCGGACCUCGCGGCGAGCGGCGGACGGGUGGAGUAAGGACGAUCGGAAGUACUGCCCUCGAUGUGGGGGAGUAACGUAGGGAAACGUUAACGUCUAAUACCGCAUACGACCGAGAGGUGAAAGACGGGGACCGGAAACGGACCUCGCGCUGAAGGAGCGGCCGAUGUCCGAUUAGCUAGUU
This 252-nucleotide ribosomal RNA is filed under the name uncultured prokaryote. Its description in RNAcentral is "partial 16S ribosomal RNA". It matches the Rfam family "Bacterial small subunit ribosomal RNA", at positions 8 to 250 of the family's 1533-position model. The record is from RNAcentral.